UUAAGUUCAGCGGGUAUCCCUACCUAAUCCGAGGUCAAUCAUUAAAAAAUGGGGGGGUUCUGGCGAGUAUCCACCAGGUGUCUAUAGCGAUGAAAAUUACUACGCUUAGAGCCUGACAGCACUGCCACUGAUUUUAGAGGCUGCCCUUACAGCAGGCCUCAACACCAAGCUGAGCUUGAGGGGUGAUAAUGACGCUCGAA
RNAcentral lists this unclassified non-coding RNA (200 nucleotides) under Helotiales sp. RNAcentral's name for it is "partial internal transcribed spacer 2". The record is from RNAcentral. Lineage: Eukaryota; Fungi; Ascomycota; Leotiomycetes; Helotiales.